CCUGAGGGUCAGACGGCCAGCUCCCUCUGAAUUCCCCCAGGGUAGAAAUGCAGCAAGGGUAGGAGGUUGAGCGGUUAGGUUUGCACCCUCUUUUUA
This 96-nucleotide signal recognition particle RNA is filed under the name Saprospiraceae bacterium. RNAcentral's name for it is "signal recognition particle sRNA small type". It matches the Rfam family "Bacterial small signal recognition particle RNA". Rfam says of the family: The signal recognition particle (SRP) is a universally conserved ribonucleoprotein involved in the co-translational targeting of proteins to membranes. Archaeal SRP consists of a 7S RNA and homologues of the eukaryotic SRP19 and SRP54 proteins. The record is from RNAcentral. RNAcentral also lists the same sequence under 1 other name. Lineage: Bacteria; Pseudomonadati; Bacteroidota; Saprospiria; Saprospirales; Saprospiraceae.